This 460-nucleotide ribosomal RNA is filed under the name uncultured bacterium. Its description in RNAcentral is "partial 16S ribosomal RNA". It matches the Rfam family "Bacterial small subunit ribosomal RNA", at positions 338 to 795 of the family's 1533-position model. The record is from RNAcentral.
CCUACGGGAGGCUGCAGUGAGGAAUAUUGGUCAAUGGACGAGAGUCUGAACCAGCCAAGUAGCGUGAAGGAUGACUGCCCUAUGGGUUGUAAACUUCUUUUAUAUGGGAAUAAAAUGUUCCACGUGUGGGAUGUUGUAUGUACCAUAUGAAUAAGGAUCGGCUAACUCCGUGCCAACAGCCGCGGUAAUACGGAGGAUCCGAGCGUUAUCCGGAUUUAUUGGGUUUAAAGGGAGCGUAGGUGGAUUGUUAAGUCAGUUGUGAAAGUUUGCGGCUCAACCGUAAAAUUGCAGUUGAAACUGGCAGUCUUGAGUACAGUAGAGGUGGGCGGAAUUCGUGGUGUAGCGGUGAAAUGCGUAGAUAUCACGAAGAACUCCGAUUGCGAAGGCAGCUUACUAAACUGCCACUGACAUUGAUGCUCGAAAGUGUGGGUAUCAAACAGGAUUAGAUACCCGUGUAGUC